UGGCGACUAUAGCGAUUUGGAACCACCUGAUACCAUCUCGAACUCAGAAGUGAAACAUUUCCGCGCCAAUGAUAGUGUGAGG
Molecule: ribosomal RNA, 82 nt
Filed under: Legionella pneumophila
Lineage: Bacteria; Pseudomonadati; Pseudomonadota; Gammaproteobacteria; Legionellales; Legionellaceae
Source: RNAcentral